This 289-nucleotide long non-coding RNA is filed under the name Panax ginseng (ginseng). Its description in RNAcentral is "long non-coding RNA (PGIN_LNC005421)". Lineage: Eukaryota; Viridiplantae; Streptophyta; Magnoliopsida; Apiales; Araliaceae. The record is from RNAcentral.
GAAAGUGUUGAUUUGAACAAGAUUUAUAAAUAGUGGAGGUAACGAAGGUUUCUCCGAACUGAGUUUAAACAAUUAUAUCAAAGUCUAACUUCUCCGGAGUUAACUUCAAACAUUGAACACAACUAGGUGAAAUAAAAGAGUGAGUAGAACCGGUAUUUAACACAGUAUAAACUUCACAAGAGUUUAUGACUAACAUACCCGUGAUAAUUUUAUCCAGGUUCCUCGUCACGAAAAAAAAAUGCUCUCUCUUAAACUACCGGCCUUGGCUUGUCUGGGACAUCCUUUGGCA